Molecule: RNA transcript, 2502 nt
Organism: Sander lucioperca (pikeperch)
Lineage: Eukaryota; Metazoa; Chordata; Actinopteri; Perciformes; Percidae
Gene: slc2a9l2
Gene name: solute carrier family 2 member 9, like 2
Exons: 14
Source: RefSeq, a predicted model, not a curated record
UUUUGGUUCAUGUCCAGCCACAGUAAAUUAAGUUAGCCAGCUAGUUCUCAUGUGAUAAUGGUGUUUUUUCAUUAUGUGCCUGCAGUUACUUUGGUUGUGGAAUCUGCAAGAAUAGCCUGAUUUUGGACGGCGAAAGUCUUGAGAUUGCCUUGUUGCUGAAACGUUAAGAUGGGCAAACCACAGAAUGACCACCCAGCAGAUCACAAGAUAAGCGACUCUAGGAAGAACUCUGAACAGCAGCCAAUCACAGCCUGUCUGUUGAGCGCAGCCUUCUUUGGUGCCCUGGGGUCGUCUUUCAUUUACGGCUACAACCUCUCCGUGGUCAACGCUCCUGCUUUGUUCAUUAAAGCUUUCUACAAUACCACAUGGAUUGAGAGAUAUGGGGAGCCUCUUGCAGCAGAGACAGCCACCCUCCUCUGGUCCGUCACGGUGUCCAUAUUUGCUAUCGGUGGCCUUCUUGGAGCGCUCGCCGUCUCUAUAAUCCUCAAAGUACUGGGAAGAAAGGGAACCUUGCUGCUGAAUAACAUCUUUGCUGUAAUAGCUGCUCUGCUGCUGACUCUGGGUGAAAGGGCCAAAUCUUUUGAGAUGCUUAUCAUUGGCCGGCUCAUAAUCGGGGUAAACUCUGGCAUAGCUCUCAGUGCCCUCCCAAUGUACCUUGGAGAGAUUACGCCAAGACAUAUCCGAGGUUCAAUAGGCCAGUUCAACUCCAUCCUGAUCUGCUUGGGAGUGUUCAUGGGACAAGUGCUGGGACUACCCGAGCUGCUGGGUCAGGAAUCCAGGUGGAGCUACCUGUUUUCCUUCCUGGCGUUGCCGGCAAUACUGCAGCUGUGUGUGCUGCCCUUCCUCCCUGAGAGUCCUCGCUACCUGCUGAUAGAGAGGAGGGAUGAGGCUGGAGCUGAAAGAGCCUUUCAGAGGUUUUUGGGAAAGAAAGAUGUGUCCCAGGAGCUGGAGGAGGUUCAUGCGGAGGCUCGGGCUCAGGAGAACCUGCACACCGCCUCUGUGUUACAGCUGCUGAGGAGCCCAGGUGUUCGCUGGCAGCUCAUUACCAUCAUCAUAACCAUGGCCUGCUAUCAGCUCUGUGGCCUCAAUGCUAUCUGGUACUACACCAAUGGGAUACUUCGGGAAGCAGGCUUUGCCGAAAACAUUAUCCCCUACAUCACACUGAGCACUGGGGCCAUAGAGACUUUGGCUGCCAUCAUCUCGGGCUUAGUGAUUGAACGAAUUGGGAGGAGGCCCCUCCUCAUCUUUGGGUUCUCUGCCAUGGCCGUAUUCUUCAGCCUACUCACAGUGUUCCUCAAUUUCCAGGAGAGGCUGUCAUGGAUGCCCUACUUCAGUUACAUCUCUAUACUGGCUGUGAUAGCGUCCUUUUGCUCUGGGCCAGGUGGCAUCCCCUUUGUUCUGACCGGGGAACUGUUUGAACAAUCCUUCCGACCUGCCGCCUUCAUGAUUGCUGGCACAGUUAACUGGCUGUCCAACUUUGCUGUGGGCCUCCUGUUCCCAUUUAUUCAAGAGACGUUGCAGUCCUUUGCCUUCCUGGUGUUUGUGGUGGUCUGCGUCUUGGGAGCUAUCUACCUCUUUGUCGUCCUACCUGAGACCAAAAAUAAAACAUUUAUGGACAUCAGUAAGAGCUUUGCCAAGAUCAACAAAAUCCCUGCCCCUUCUCCCAGCAAUGAAAUGGAGCUGGUUCUGUCCAGUAAGCCUGACAUGAAUGGAAGAGUCCAAGAUAUUGCUAAGAUGGAGAGUUCCUUCUAGCUGAACAAACUACACUAAUGGUGGAGAAGCAGGGUUGAAACAUAAAGUGAAAGUAUUUGUUGUUUGUACAUAUUUAAUACCUGUGGUCAGUUACAUGAAAACCAAUGAUUUUGGUUAAAUGUAUUUUGGACACAGAUGCAAACAUGUGUCAUGUGAUGAUAAAGGGGUGUCCAUGUAUUCAAAUGGCAUUGUUGAAGAGAGGUGGGGAAAUGCCAUGUCCUGAGUUUCAGUUUAAUUCCUGUCCUGAUCAUAUCUGGUGAGCUAGAGUGCCACAGAUUGCAUUUGUCCAACUGGAAAGCAGGCAGGGAAGUGAGGAGAAUAAUAAUUGGAAGUGUCUCUCAUAACUCUGUUUCAGCAUGUUACUCUUGAGGUGUUAUACUUUCAGCAGCGUUAGUGGGUAAUUGGCAGAAUCAUGCUGGUGAUUGCUGGUGGGAGAGUAAUUAUGAGAUCAUAGCAGCAAAGACUACUACAUGUUUAAUUAGAUGCACUCUAGGGUACUGCUGUGUGUGAUAACAUAUUGUUUGUCCAAACUCUUCGAUAUCCUCUCAAGAAAUGUUAAAUCAGCUUCCCAUUAUGCAAAGUAAGAAGUGGGCACAGCAAGAGGAGCUGUGUAUCCUGCUUCCAUUAGCUCUGAGGAGCGCUCAGUUGAAAAAUAUAUGUUUGCAAUCUUUCCAAAAUUUAGUUUUGAGUAAUAGCAUUUUUUUUUUUUAUCUGGUAUCAGAAUACACCAAGGUAAACUAUUCCUUUAAA